UACGGAGGGAGCUAGCGUUGUUCGGAUUCAUUGGGCGUAAAGGGUGCGUAGGCGGCGCGGUAAGUCGGGUGUGAAAUCUCGGAGCUUAACUCCGAAACUGCAUUCGAUACUGCCGUGCUUGAGGACUGGAGAGGAGACUGGAAUUUACGGUGUAGCGGUGAAAUGCGUAGAUAUCGUAAGGAAGACCAGUGGCGAAGGCGGGUCUCUGGACAGUUCCUGACGCUGAGGCACGAAGGCCAGGGGAGCAAACGGG
This 253-nucleotide ribosomal RNA is filed under the name uncultured bacterium. Its description in RNAcentral is "partial 16S ribosomal RNA". It matches the Rfam family "Bacterial small subunit ribosomal RNA", at positions 524 to 776 of the family's 1533-position model. The record is from RNAcentral.